Sinocyclocheilus anshuiensis is the source of this 100-nucleotide long non-coding RNA. RefSeq lists it as uncharacterized. Lineage: Eukaryota; Metazoa; Chordata; Actinopteri; Cypriniformes; Cyprinidae. The record is from RefSeq and is a predicted model, not a curated record. The transcript is spliced from 2 exons.
UGUGUUUCAGUUGCUGAAGCGUAUUUAUGGAAAUGUCCUUGUGGCACCAGAAGACGGGUACAAUAUUUCACUGCUCUUUGACCUGGAGGCUCUUCCACCC